RNAcentral lists this unclassified non-coding RNA (233 nucleotides) under plant metagenome. RNAcentral describes it as "partial contains small subunit ribosomal RNA, internal transcribed spacer 1, and 5.8S ribosomal RNA". The record is from RNAcentral.
UUUCCGUAGGUGAACCUGCGGAAGGAUCAUUACUGAGUGAGGGCCCUCUGGGUCCAACCUCCCACCCGUGUUUAUUAUACCUUGUUGCUUCGGUGAGCCCGCCUCACGGCCGCCGGGGGGCAUCUGCCCCCGGGCCCGCGCCCACCGAAGACACCUAAAACUCUGUAUGAAGAUUGCAGUCUGAGCAAAAACUAAAUAAGUUAAAACUUUCAACAACGGAUCUCUUGGUUCCG